GUGGGGAAUUUUGGACAAUGGGCGCAAGCCUGAUCCAGCAAUGCCGCGUGCAGGAAGAAGGCCUUCGGGUUGUAAACUGCUUUUGUACGGAACGAAACGGUCCGGGUUAAUACCCUGGGCUAAUGACGGUACCGUAAGAAUAAGCACCGGCUAACUACGUGCCAGCAGCCGCGGUAAUACGUAGGGUGCAAGCGUUAAUCGGAAUUACUGGGCGUAAAGCGUGCGCAGGCGGUUUUGCAAGACAGAUGUGAAAUCCCCGGGCUCAACCUGGGAACUGCAUUUGUGACUGCAAGGCUAGAGUACGGAAGAGGGGGAUGGAAUUCCGCGUGUAGCAGUGAAAUGCGUAGAUAUGCGGAGGAACACCAAUGGCGAAGGCAAUCCCCUGGGCCUGUACUGACGCUCAUGCACGAAAGCGUGGGGAGCAAACAGGAUUAGAUACCCUGGUAGUCC
This 450-nucleotide ribosomal RNA is filed under the name uncultured bacterium. Its description in RNAcentral is "bacterial SSU rRNA". It matches the Rfam family "Bacterial small subunit ribosomal RNA", at positions 354 to 796 of the family's 1533-position model. The record is from RNAcentral.